UACGUAGGUGGCAAGCGUUGUCCGGAUUUACUGGGGGUAAAGAGCCCGCAGGCGGUCGAUCAAGUCGCGUGGGAAAGCCCCCGGCUCAACUGGGGAGGGUCACGCGAUACUGAUCGACUCGAAGGCAGGAGAGGGUAGUGGAAUUCCCGGUGUAGUGGUGAAAUGCGUAGAUAUCGGGAGGAACACCAGUGGCGAAGGCGACUACCUGGCCUGUUCUUGACGCUGAGGCGCGAAAGCUAGGGGAGCAAACGGG
This 253-nucleotide ribosomal RNA is filed under the name uncultured bacterium. RNAcentral's name for it is "partial 16S ribosomal RNA". It matches the Rfam family "Bacterial small subunit ribosomal RNA", at positions 524 to 776 of the family's 1533-position model. The record is from RNAcentral.